UUACGACCAAAUCACUUUGAAACACCGGGUCCCAUACGAUCAUCGUAGUUAAGUAACGUCGAGUCUUGUCAGUACCUAGAUGGGUGACCGAUUGGGAAUACCUGCUGCUGUAAG
Acanthosepion pharaonis is the source of this 114-nucleotide non-coding RNA. Lineage: Eukaryota; Metazoa; Mollusca; Cephalopoda; Sepiida; Sepiidae. The record is from the annotation of a GenBank genome assembly.